RNAcentral lists this ribosomal RNA (301 nucleotides) under uncultured bacterium. Its description in RNAcentral is "partial 16S ribosomal RNA". It matches the Rfam family "Bacterial small subunit ribosomal RNA", at positions 509 to 807 of the family's 1533-position model. The record is from RNAcentral.
CAGUAGCCGCGGGAAUACAGAGGGUGCAAGCGUUAAUCGGAUUUACUGGGCGUAAAGGGCGCGUAGGUGGUUAUUUAAGUGAGAUGUGAAAGCCCCGGGCUUAACCUGGGAACUGCAUCUUAUACUGGGUAACUGGAGUGCAGUAGAGGGUAGUGGAAUUUCCGGUGUAGCGGUGAAAUGCGUAGAUAUCGGAAGGAACACCAGUGGCGAAGGCGGCUACCUGGACUGAGACUGACACUGAGGCGCGAGAGCGUGGGGAGCAAACAGGAUUAGAUACCCGCGUAGUCCCUGUCUCUUAUAC